UUUGGCUUAUGGUUCUCACUCUCGCCCGACUCUCCUCCCAAGUUCAAAUGCGGUUUUCCAAUGCAGAGAGGGAGGUAAAGAAAGAAGAUUGCGGGCGUUGGACACUUCUCUGGAGAGCAUCUUCUCGAGCAUUCGGUCAGGUAGGAACUUGAUGAGAUUAAGAGCAAUGCUAUGAGGCUGGUUUUUUGCCUUGAUCAGAUUCUAUCCUUUACCGUUCAAUUCUGAGAAGUUUUGUUAGCAAUGCCAGUGACAUGUAAACAACAACUUCAGGCACCCACAUGCAGCAUGCAUUUAACACAAACUAAACCGACUAAACUGCCAAACCAUCACUAAUUCAGUCCAGAAAUCAGAUUUCUUGAACAAUCCUAACCUCUGGUUUUUGGACACUUGUUUGUUGAAACAGGACCAUUAAACAAUUUUAUUUUUAUUUUUAACCACCCAAUUAGUAUCCACCAAUCUAAUAUUUACAGAUAACAAAUAAUCUUGAUUUUUGGUUCAUGAUACAUCUAAACAGGAACCCAUGAUUUGGCCAGCCUAAUUUGAAUUAAUUGUAUGCAACAUAUGCAAUUUGUAACUAAUUUCUGUCUGUGCAUCGUCCACCACUCCGCCAGAGUGUCAAGUUUUUCUUCAAGCUAUAAGUUCACGAAUAUAUGAAAUUGUAAAUAUUGCAAAUAUUCUUUUU
This is a long non-coding RNA of Magnolia sinica, 682 nucleotides long. RefSeq lists it as uncharacterized. NCBI's taxonomy places the organism in Eukaryota, Viridiplantae, Streptophyta, Magnoliopsida, Magnoliales, Magnoliaceae. The record is from RefSeq and is a predicted model, not a curated record. The transcript has 3 exons.